Molecule: long non-coding RNA, 978 nt
Filed under: Marmota monax (woodchuck)
Lineage: Eukaryota; Metazoa; Chordata; Mammalia; Rodentia; Sciuridae
Source: RNAcentral
GCCACUAGCCCUGGACAGAGUACCCCUGGGGAGCCCCUUACCUGGCCCCCUUUCCUCGCCACUCCAUCCCUUCCCUAGCACACUUUGUGGGGCCACCAGCGGCACUCACAGCUUUCCUCCUGAAACCCACCCUCCGGGCCCACGAGCUGCUCCCCCGUGCGCGCCCUCCCUCUGGCCCUUGACUCCUCGGGCACUGCCUCUGCCUGAAGCCCCCUCUGCCCCCACCCACCCCAAGCCCCUCAGUUCCACGGUGACCCCUCACGCACACAUUAGCAGGUGCACGGCCACUCAGCACAAGGGUGCUCCGGCUCUCCGGCCUCGGCCCAGCUGGCCUGUCUCCUGAGGCCACCCUGUCCCGAUGCCCGCCCCCUCUGUCCUCGUGUCAUCUCCUUCUGGCUCUGCCUUCCCUCUGACGAUGCCCACGUCCCCUCCACUGGAUCUUCCUGCCCAGCCUUGAGCAGCUGGCCCACUGCCUACCUGAGGGUCCCCUGCCUGAGGGACACCACUCAGACACCCAGCGGGGCCUGGCCUCUCCGUCUAGCAGCUGGACAAAACCAGCCAACCCGUGACCCACCAGCUCCUUCACCUCCAAACCACACCAGCCCCAGUUCCUGCGGCCCCACCCGGCAAAGCCUCGGUGUCCCCAUCUGUGGGUGGGCAUGCCCUGGGGCCACAGAGCCCCCUGAGAUGGCACCCAUUCAGACGUCCCCAUCCCCAGAGACACCCUUCUUGGCCUGGCCCCACAGGGACCUUCUGUCCCGGGAGAGGCCACACCGCUGAUCCUGAGGGUCUGACCGGGUCAUCAGGGCAGACCCACAGGCCUCCUGGGAUCGAGCUCAGAGUGAGGGGAAGCCUCUGCCAUUGUCAGGCGGGGCUCCAAGGGGCAGCUGCACUGUCCAGGGUUCGUACCCCAGAGCAUCCCGACUGGAGGGCGCCCUGGGCCCUCCCUGCCCCUGCCCCAGAGGAACAGACCCCAAG